This is a small nucleolar RNA of Juglans regia (Persian walnut), 108 nucleotides long. Lineage: Eukaryota; Viridiplantae; Streptophyta; Magnoliopsida; Fagales; Juglandaceae. The record is from RefSeq and is a predicted model, not a curated record.
UACCCAUGGUGGGGGUAGGCAUUACGCAAAUCCUUGAACCUCUCCCAACAUUGAUAAAAAGUUUCAGUUUCUUUCUAUACAAAAUUCAUGAUUUGUCAUUUUAAUGCA